GCGGUUUUGGCUCAGAGGUAGAGUACUCACCUGUCACACACGAGGAACUGGGUUCAAUCCUCAAUACCACA
RNAcentral lists this transfer RNA (71 nucleotides) under Marmota monax (woodchuck). RNAcentral's name for it is "tRNA.Asp". Lineage: Eukaryota; Metazoa; Chordata; Mammalia; Rodentia; Sciuridae. The record is from RNAcentral.